RNAcentral lists this ribosomal RNA (281 nucleotides) under uncultured prokaryote. RNAcentral describes it as "partial 16S ribosomal RNA". It matches the Rfam family "Bacterial small subunit ribosomal RNA", at positions 26 to 291 of the family's 1533-position model. The record is from RNAcentral.
AGGACGAACGCUGGCGGUCGUGCUUAACACAUGCAAGUCGAACGGGGUGUGCCGGGGUAGUAAUACCUUGUACAUCUAGUGGCGAACGGGUGACGUAACACGUGAGUAACCUACCCCGAAGUCUGGAAUAACACCGGGAAACCGAUGCUAAUACCAGAUUGCCCUCCUCUGGAUACGCGAUGAUCGGUUGAGGAAAGUUUUUCGCUUCGGGAGGGGCUCGCGGCCUAUCAGCUUGGUUGGUGAGGUAACGGCUUCACCCAAGGCUUCGACGGGUAGCUGGU